This 73-nucleotide transfer RNA is filed under the name Archangium violaceum. RNAcentral describes it as "tRNA-Ala". It matches the Rfam family "tRNA". From Rfam's summary of the family: Transfer RNA (tRNA) molecules are approximately 80 nucleotides in length. Their secondary structure includes four short double-helical elements and three loops (D, anti-codon, and T loops). Lineage: Bacteria; Pseudomonadati; Myxococcota; Myxococcia; Myxococcales; Archangiaceae. The record is from RNAcentral.
GGGGCUGUAGCUCAGCUGGGAGAGCGCUAGCUUUGCAAGCUAGAAGUCGUCGGUUCGAUCCCGAUCAGCUCCA